AAUCGUUGGGCCGGACCUCUAAAGAGAAGUUUGAUGAAACAUUACCGCGCCCACCUUUACUCCACAACUUUAAAGCUAAAGUCUGUUGCCAGCUCUUCAGAGAAACAGCUAGGAUAUUGUCAUCUAUCGGGUUAUACGGGGUAUUCAUAAAAACGACCGGGUUUCAUAAUAAAACGCAGUAGAGGAAAAAAGCCUUCGUUGAGUCGCCGCAGCCCUUGGUUGUGACAGACGGUUCAAGGAACAGACGCUUAUGCACUCGAGCAGAUGACUUGUUCUCCGAGCAACGGUUCGUAAUAAGCUCGUAAGGUGCGAAGCACUGGUGUGCGACGUGUGUGUAAAAUGGACGCUCAAUCAGCACAAGACACGUCAAAGAUAGCACUGUUUCAGACGUAUACUGCAGCAUUCCAUGACACGGUACCGGCAUGGUAAUCCCAGUUCUUCUCGUCUCCAUGGACAUCCUAUCCAUAAACGAGGGUUCAUAUAAAACAGAGUACGGUGUGCCACAAGACCUACAAGCAUAAAGUGCACUCUCCGUGAUGGUGUAUGAGAAACUGCUCGACAAGACCGUGCAUUUUCGUCGACGUUUUCUCACAAAAGUUGCUCCUGAAAUAGAGUAAAAUAUUCGGCUAAUUGAAGACAAUUCCCACGCCUCGAAGGCAAAAACGAUCGACUAUUGGUGGUAAAGUUACCUUUUAGAUUGAGAAUUAUGACUGUCUGGGCCAUAUUACGAGUGAAAUGCGAUAAAUAAUUUUUAAUCGUUGAACCAUACAACCCGUACACUUUCAGUGCGUUACAUUGCUAAACCGGUGUACAGUAAUAUCGCUAAACAUCGUACACUUUCAUGAAGUCAACAUGUUUUGCAAUGUAUCUCAGCAAAAGGGCAUGCAUAUUACUUGUUACUUCGUCAGUCUUUAUUGUUAGCUUUUUAGUACAUGAUAGCCAUGCAAAAAUGGCGU
Long non-coding RNA from Lineus longissimus, 956 nucleotides. RefSeq lists it as uncharacterized. The transcript has 4 exons. The record is from RefSeq and is a predicted model, not a curated record. NCBI's taxonomy places the organism in Eukaryota, Metazoa, Nemertea, Pilidiophora, Heteronemertea, Lineidae.